Molecule: ribosomal RNA, 466 nt
Filed under: uncultured bacterium
Lineage: Bacteria
Description: partial 16S ribosomal RNA
Rfam family: Bacterial small subunit ribosomal RNA
Source: RNAcentral
GAUGAACGCUGGCGGCGUGCUUAACACAUGCAAGUCGAACGGAAAGGCUCCUGCUUGCAGGGGUACUCGAGUGGCGAACGGGUGAGUAACACGUGGGUGAUCUGCCCUGCACUUCGGGAUAAGCCUGGGAAACUGGGUCUAAUACCGGAUAGGACGAUGGUUUGGAUGCCAUUGUGGAAAGUUUUUCGGUGUGGGAUGAGCUCGCGGCCUAUCAGCUUGUUGGUGGGGUAAUGGCCUACCAAGGCGUCGACGGGUAGCCGGCCUGAGAGGGUGUACGGCCACAUUGGGACUGAGAUACGGCCCAGACUCCUACGGGAGGCAGCAGUGGGGAAUAUUGCACAAUGGGCGCAAGCCUGAUGCAGCGACGCCGCGUGGGGGAUGACGGCCUUCGGGUUGUAAACUCCGUUCGCUAGGGACGAAGCGUUUUGUGACGGUACCUGGAGAAGAAGCACCGGCUAACUACGUG